GGCAGGGUAGCUCAGCUGGUUAGAGCGGAGGAUUCAUAACCCUCAGGUCGCCGGUUCAAGCCCGGCUCCUGCUACCA
RNAcentral lists this transfer RNA (77 nucleotides) under Myxococcales bacterium. RNAcentral's name for it is "tRNA-Met". It matches the Rfam family "tRNA". Rfam says of the family: Transfer RNA (tRNA) molecules are approximately 80 nucleotides in length. Lineage: Bacteria; Pseudomonadati; Myxococcota; Myxococcia; Myxococcales. The record is from RNAcentral.